Non-coding RNA from Picea glauca (white spruce), 45 nucleotides. The record is from Rfam. NCBI's taxonomy places the organism in Eukaryota, Viridiplantae, Streptophyta, Pinopsida, Pinales, Pinaceae.
GCAAUGGUGUCUUUAGACACCACCACUACUCUCUGAUCCAUUCUC